GUUAAUCAUCCCGAAAAUAAAAAGAUCUACUUAAAUAAAACCUAUGUUAGAAAUAAAAUUAUUGUAACAAAAAUAAGUUAAAAUAGUUAAGUAGCGGUGAAAGGCCUAUCACUUUUAUUGAUAACUGGAUUAAAAGAAAAUAUAUUUAGUAUAUCUGACAAUUUUAAAAUGAUAAGGUUUUAAAAAAAAUGAAUAAAUUAUAAAAUUAAAGUUAUUAUUUAGUAAAACUAUUUAAUAGAUAGGUGACUAUAAAAAUUAAACUAAUUGAACAUCAUAAGUCAAUCUUUUAUUUGUUUAAAAAAUAAUAUAACACCAUUAAUAAUGUAUCAAUCAGUAAAUAUUUUAAAUAUUAUUAAGGAACUCGACAAAUAUUUUGUACGACUGUUUAUCAAAAACAUAACCAUAAGCAAACUUUUAUGGUGACGUCCGCCCAGUGAUAAUUUUAACGGCCGCAGUACUUUGACUGUGCAAAGGUAGCAUAAUAACUUGGCUUUUGAUUGGAGUCUGGAAUGAGUGAAAUAACGUAUAAAAAUUGUCUCAAAUAAUAAUGUAGUAAAGUUAUUUAAGAAGUGAAAAUACUUCUAGGUAUAAUAAAAGACGAGAAGACCCUUAGAAUUUUUACUAAAUAAUUAAAUUAUCUUUUGUCGUUUUAGUUGGGGCAACUCUAUUUCAAAUAAAUAAAUGGCAUAUAUAAGCUAUUACACCGAUUUAAAUAAAUAAAAAUAAAUUACCUAAGGGAUAACAGCAUAAUUUUAUUAAAUAAGAUUGUGACCUCGAUGUUGGACUAGGUACUGCUAAAGCUAAACGUUUUAUCAUUUAUGUUCUGUUCGAACUUCUUUACCUACAUGAUCUGAGUUCAGACCGGCGUAAGCCAGGUCAGUUUCUAUCUUUAGUAUAGUA
Molecule: ribosomal RNA, 900 nt
Filed under: Agathylla biloba dabovici
Lineage: Eukaryota; Metazoa; Mollusca; Gastropoda; Stylommatophora; Clausiliidae
Description: partial 16S large subunit ribosomal RNA
Source: RNAcentral